RNAcentral lists this ribosomal RNA (480 nucleotides) under uncultured bacterium. RNAcentral's name for it is "partial 16S ribosomal RNA". It matches the Rfam family "Bacterial small subunit ribosomal RNA", at positions 355 to 827 of the family's 1533-position model. The record is from RNAcentral.
UGGGGAAUUUUGGACAAUGGGCGCAAGCCUGAUCCAGCCAUGCCGCGUGCGGGAAGAAGGCCUUCGGGUUGUAAACCGCUUUUGUCAGGGAAGAAAUCUUCUGAGUUAAUACCUCGGGAGGAUGACGGUACCUGAAGAAUAAGCACCGGCUAACUACGUGCCAGCAGCCGCGGUAAUACGUAGGGUGCAAGCGUUAAUCGGAAUUACUGGGCGUAAAGCGUGCGCAGGCGGUUUUGUAAGACAGAGGUGAAAUCCCCGGGCUCAACCUGGGAACUGCCUUUGUGACUGCAAGGCUUGAGUGCGGCAGAGGGGGAUGGAAUUCCGCGUGUAGCAGUGAAAUGCGUAGAUAUGCGGAGGAACACCGAUGGCGAAGGCAAUCCCCUGGGCCUGCACUGACGCUCAUGCACGAAAGCGUGGGGAGCAAACAGGAUUAGAUACCCUGGUAGUCCACGCCCUAAACGAUGUCAACUGGUUGUUGGG